This 607-nucleotide ribosomal RNA is filed under the name Hypocreales sp. Vl-23. RNAcentral's name for it is "LSU rRNA". It matches the Rfam family "Eukaryotic large subunit ribosomal RNA", at positions 38 to 667 of the family's 3401-position model. The record is from RNAcentral. Lineage: Eukaryota; Fungi; Ascomycota; Sordariomycetes; Hypocreales.
GCAUAUCAAUAAGCGGAGGAAAAGAAACCAACAGGGAUUGCCCCAGUAACGGCGAGUGAAGCGGCAACAGCUCAAAUUUGAAAUCUGGUCCCCAGGGCCCGAGUUGUAAUUUGUAGAGGAUGCUUUUGGCGAGGCGCCUUCCGAGUUCCCUGGAACGGGACGCCACAGAGGGUGAGAGCCCCGUCUGGUCGGAUGCCAAGCCUAUGUAAAGCUCCUUCGACGAGUCGAGUAGUUUGGGAAUGCUGCUCAAAAUGGGAGGUAUAUGUCUUCUAAAGCUAAAUACCGGCCAGAGACCGAUAGCGCACAAGUAGAGUGAUCGAAAGAUGAAAAGCACUUUGAAAAGAGGGUUAAAAAGUACGUGAAAUUGUUGAAAGGGAAGCGCCUAUGACCAGACUUGGGCCCGGUGAAUCAUCCAGCGUUCUCGCUGGUGCACUUUGCCGGGCACAGGCCAGCAUCAGUUUGGCGCGGGGGACAAAGGCUUCGGGAAUGUGGCUCCCCUCGGGGAGUGUUAUAGCCCGUUGCGCAAUACCCUGCGCCGGACUGAGGUACGCGCUCCGCAAGGAUGCUGGCGUAAUGGUCAUCAGCGACCCGUCUUGAAACACGGACA